This 520-nucleotide ribosomal RNA is filed under the name uncultured bacterium. Its description in RNAcentral is "partial 16S ribosomal RNA". It matches the Rfam family "Bacterial small subunit ribosomal RNA", at positions 28 to 507 of the family's 1533-position model. The record is from RNAcentral.
GACGAACGCUGGCGGCGUGCCUAAUACAUGCAAGUCGAACGCACUCUCGUUUAGAUUGAAGGAGUUUGCUCCUGAUUGAUAAACAUUUGAGUGAGUGGCGGACGGGUGAGUAACACGUGGGUAACCUGCCCUAAAGUGGGGGAUAACAUUUGGAAACAGAUGCUAAUACCGCAUAAAACCUAACACCGCAUGGUGUAGGGUUGAAAGAUGGUUUCGGCUAUCACUUUAGGAUGGACCCGCGGUGCAUUAGUUAGUUGGUGAGGUAAAGGCUCACCAAGACGGUGAUGCAUAGCCGACCGGAGAGGGUAAUCGGCCACACUGGGACUGAGACACGGCCCAGACUCCUACGGGAGGCAGCAGUAGGGAAUCUUCCACAAUGGACGAAAGUCUGAUGGAGCAACGCCGCGUGAGUGAAGAAGGUUUUCGGAUCGUAAAACUCUGUUGUUGGAGAAGAAUGUAUCUGAUAGUAACUGAUCAGGUAGUGACGGUAUCCAACCAGAAAGCCACGGCUAACUACGUG